CAAGUUGAACGCGAAAGUGGAGCAAUCCAUGAGUAGAGUGGCAAACGGGCUGAGUAACGCGUGGGCGACCUACCUCUGAGUGGGGGAUAACCUUCCGAAAGGAGGGCUAAUACCGCAUGACAUCCCGUGUUUGGAUACACGGACAUCAAAGCCGGGGAUCGCAAGACCUGGCGCUCGGAGAGGGGCCCGCGUCCGAUUAGCUAGUUGGUGAGGUAACGGCUCACCAAGGCUCCGAUCGGUAUCCGGCCUGAGAGGGCGGACGGACACACUGGAACUGAGACACGGUCCAGACUCCUACGGGAGGCAGCAGUGGGGAAUUGUUCGCAAUGGGCGCAAGCCUGACGACGCAACGCCGCGUGGAGGAUGAAGACUUUCGGGUCGUAAACUCCUUUCGACCGAGAUGAAUUCCCGCCGGCCUAACACGUCGGCGGGGUGACAGUAUCGAGGGAAGAAACCCCGGCUAACUCCGUGCCAGCAGCCGCGGUAAUACGGGGGGGGUAAGCGUUGUUCGGAAUUACCGGGCGUAAAGGGUUUGUAGGUGGCUUGCUAAGUCAGACGUGAAAUCCCUCAGCUUAACUGGGGAACUGCGUCUGAUACUGGCGAGCUUGAGUGCAGGAGAGGAACGCGGAAUUCCAGGUGUAGCGGUGAAAUGCGUAGAUAUCUGGAGGAACACCGGUUGGCGAAGGCGGCGUUCUGGACUGCAACUGACACUGAAAAACGAAAGCCAGGGGAGCAAACGGGAUUAGAUACCCCGGUAGUCCUGGCCCUAAACGAUGAAUGCUUGGUGUGGCGGGUAUCGAUCCCUGCCGUGCCGAA
RNAcentral lists this ribosomal RNA (816 nucleotides) under uncultured Bacteroidota bacterium. RNAcentral describes it as "bacterial SSU rRNA". It matches the Rfam family "Bacterial small subunit ribosomal RNA", at positions 58 to 850 of the family's 1533-position model. Lineage: Bacteria; Pseudomonadati; Bacteroidota. The record is from RNAcentral.